Molecule: long non-coding RNA, 3446 nt
Filed under: Gossypium barbadense (sea-island cotton)
Lineage: Eukaryota; Viridiplantae; Streptophyta; Magnoliopsida; Malvales; Malvaceae
Description: long non-coding RNA (GBAR_LNC006776)
Source: RNAcentral
AAAUUUGGUUGAAAUAAAAAGGGUAAUUUUGUAAAUUAAUUAAAAUAACCUAAUAAGACAAAAAUGAUAAAAGCUAUCAUUUUUUUUCCAUUCUUUCUUCUUCAACCGUGGGAAAGAACCGAAAAUGGCAGCCAUAGAUGAGCUCCAUUCGACCAAGCUUCUAUGGCUUAUAUAGGUACGGUUUUUGUCCCGUUUUUAAUGAUUUUCGUUUUUUUGAUAUCCCCGAAGCUUAAAUUUAUUAUUUCUACCAAUUGAUUGAAGAGAAAUUAGAGUUUAAAAAUUUACCCAUUCAUGAUAUGGUUGUGUUUUGAUGAUUUAUAGUAGAUAAUGAAUGUUUGAUGUGUUAAAUAUGAGUUUUAUUCAAUGAAUUUCGGUAAAAAUGUCAAAAAGGUUUAAAUUGUAAAAGUUAUAAAUUGGUCAUAAGUGUGUGAAUUAGUGAAAAUUUGGAGUUUCCAUAGAAGAGAAAAAUGUUCAGCAUGUCUUAAACCUUAUAGAAAUUGAAUAAAAAAUUAUUUUACGAGCCUAGGGGUAAAAGUGUAAUUUUUGAAAAGUUAGGGGGCAUAAUUGUAAAUUUUCCAAAUUUUGAUAUAUGAAUUGAAUUGGUUAGUGUGUUGAUAAAAUGUGUUAAAUAAGUGUUAUUUGACAUGUUAGAUCAAGAAAACAUGAAAUUUUGGAUUAAGAUUAGGGAAGAACAAAGUUGUGUGCUAAGUCAGGAAAGUUAGCCGUUUCGACAUUUGAGGUAAGUUGGUAUGAUGAUAAUACUGCAAUAAUGUUAUUGCCUUGAUAUUAAAUGAGAUGUAAGUUUAAAUGUAAGUAAUACAUCAAUUUUACUUGUAUUAUGAUAUUUUAUAAUAAUAUUGGAAAUAUGUUUGUUGAUAAUUACUUGAUUGGUGAAAUUGUUGGAAAAGAGAGAGAAACCUCGGUUGAACCUUUGGAAAGAUUGAAUGAUACAGAUGGUAUGUAGCUAGGUCACAUGUAUGGUGCUGAGUGCACAUCAUGUGUACAAGAGAGCUACGAGACAUUAUAAUGUAGCUAGGUCGCAUGGGUGAUGCUAUGUGUACACCAUGUAGACAAGAGAGCUACGGGAUAUAUGUAGCUAGGUCGCAUGCGUGGUUCCAGGUGAAGGAUACCAUGUAGACAAGAGAGCUACGAGAUAAAUUGGCUAGGUCACAUGGGUGGUACUAAGUGUUCACCAUGUGUACAAGAGAGCCGAACUAUAUGAUGGGUGGAGCUAUGUGCUGAAACCACCAAGUAUCGAGUAUUGAUCCAAAGUGUUCAACAAGAGACUUACUAUGUAUUGCUUUGUGAGUUUUGUGAGGAAUAAGUGCAGGAACUUGGUUAUGUGAAUGAUGUGUUCAUUAAGUGACUGAGAUGUGGUAAGGUUAUAAACAAGUAAGUUCGUACGUAUUAAGUAUUAUUAUAUUGAGCAUUUAAUGCGUUGGAAUCAUAUAAAUGGAAUAUUUAUGAGUAUUUUAAUGAUUAAUGAUUUAUCGACCAAACGAACGGCACUUAGCGUGCGAAGUAUUGAGGAUGACACUUAGUGUGCGAAGUAUUGAGGAUGGCACUUAGUGUGCAAGACAUCUGAAAUGACACUUAGUGUAUGAAGUAUUAAUGAUGACACUUGUGUGCGAAACAUCCGAAAUGGCACUUAGUGUGCGAAGUAUCGAGGAUGGCACUUAGUGUGCGAAACAUCCGGUAUAGCACUUAGCGUGCAAGACAUCGAUUGUGCAGUGACAUUUCGUGUAAUUAUGAUUUUGUUAUGGAUCGAUAUAGGUAUGUACAUGUAUGUAUGAGCAUGUUAAUAAGCAUUAUUAUAAUUGAGAUUUAAUGCUGUAUAAUUGAAUUGUUGAUGAUUAUGAUUGUACGCAAGUAUUUUAUGAAAAUUUGGCAUUGGAAAUUCCUGUUGAACCUUAGGAAUAAAUUAGGAUACAAAGGGCAUGUCAUUAAAGUUACAUUGAUUUGGCUUCGGGCCAUGAUAUUGGCACUUAGUGUGCGAUAUUCCCGAGUAUCCAAUUUUUAUUCCAAAUAGUUCAACGGGUAUAUCGAAAAUAUGAAUGAGUAAUUUAGCCUUGACAGAUUUGAGUUACUGCAGUAGUGUAACUUUGAAAAUACACUAAAAAUAGUGAAAAAUGAGUUAGAGGCAGAAUAAAAUAUGAGAUUAAAGCUUAAUGAGUCUAUAUUCACAUGAAAGAAAUAGGGGAAGAAAAAGAAUUUCAUAUUGUGUGAUAUUUGAAUUCUUGUGAAACAGGGUCUGAAUGAAUUCGAGAUUCCCUGUUUUGACUUUAGAAAUUCACCAAAAGUUGUAAAAAAAUUAUUAAGAGUCAUACCUUACAUGCAUGGAUUCCUUAUUGAGUAUAUUUUUAGGGGAAAUAAACGUCAUGGUCGUUGGAAUUCUUUACAGGGAGAAAUUCGGUUCGUAGUGCACAGGGGUCAGAGUGGUCAUACCCUGAAACAGGGGAGACUUUAACUAAUAAACUGUACUAAUUGGCCCAACCAAAAAUUCUAGAAAAAAAUUAGUAAGUGUAAAUAUGAGUCUAGUUUCAAUAGAAAUAGACGAGAACAUUAUUCGUGUCUUGUACUAUGAGAUAAUUGAACUUUAGUACAGAAGGGUCGGAACUGUCAGACAAUGAAUCAGGGGUAACUUUGAGGAAUAAACUGUACUAUUUGGCUUAACCAAAAAUUCUAGAAAUUUUAUGGAAGAAAGGAAAAUAAGUCUAGUUUCAUGGAAAAUUAAUGGAACUUAAUUCAGAGUUUCGUAGCUCCAGAUAUAAAUAAUUUAGUGACUAUGAUUCAGGAAAACAGCCUUAGCUGAUCUUGUGUAAAAAGAUGAAAUCAUGUGAUUAAUGAUUCUAUUUUCUUGAGCAUAUUUAUUGAGAAAUGAGAUAAUAUUGUUAAUUAAAUUACUUAUUAUUAUUAAUAUUCCAACUUACUAAGCUUUUAAGCUUACACCAUUUUCCCAUUUCUCUUAGUGUUGUCAGGUUGGCUCGGGGUUGGAGAUCGUCGGAAGUAUCAUCACACUAUUAGUUUAUCAAAUUAGAAUAAUGGUAAUUCUUAUUUAUUGUCAAAUAAGUGGCAUGUAUAGAUAAUAAGUUAUUGAUAUUAGGUAAUAUUAUGAUUUAGCCAAAUGUACAGGCUCAUUUUGCUUCAUUGUAUAUAGCCAUAAGAUUUGGCUCAUAAUGGUUAAAGUUAUGUAAACCUAUUUUAUGUAUGCAUAGAUAAAUAUCUUGGUGUGGCUAAGUUAAGAACACAAAAAGGGCUUGGAAAAUAGCAUAUGAUACACAUGGGCUUGAGACACGGCCGUGUGUCUUAGUCGUGUGAAGAACACGGCCACCACACGGGUGUGUGGUCUAGCUGUGUGAGCAAGUCAGUAGCUAGCUAAUUUUUACACGGGGUCUAGACACGGGCGUGUGACCCUGCUUUGGUAAAAAAAAAUUACUAAGUGUCUG